UACGUAGGGGGCAAGCGUUGUCCGGAAUCAUUGGGCGUAAAGAGCGUGUAGGCGGCUCGGUAAGUCCGCUCUGAAAGCCCGGGGCUCAACCCCGGGAGGCGGGCGGAUACUGUCGGGCUAGAGUCCGGAAGAGGCGAGUGGAAUUCCUGGUGUAGCGGUGGAAUGCGCAGAUAUCAGGAGGAACACCGAUGGCGAAGGCAGCUCGCUGGGACGGUACUGACGCUGAGGCGCGAAAGCUAGGGGAGCAAACAGG
Molecule: ribosomal RNA, 253 nt
Filed under: uncultured bacterium
Lineage: Bacteria
Description: partial 16S ribosomal RNA
Rfam family: Bacterial small subunit ribosomal RNA
Source: RNAcentral